Molecule: ribosomal RNA, 497 nt
Filed under: uncultured bacterium
Lineage: Bacteria
Description: partial 16S ribosomal RNA
Rfam family: Bacterial small subunit ribosomal RNA
Source: RNAcentral
GAUGAACGCUGGCGGCGUGCCUAAUACAUGCAAGUCGAGCGAACAGACGAGGAGCUUGCUCCUCUGACGUUAGCGGCGGACGGGUGAGUAACACGUGGAUAACCUACCUAUAAGACUGGGAUAACUUCGGGAAACCGGAGCUAAUACCGGAUAAUAUAUUGAACCGCAUGGUUCAAUAGUUAAAGACGGUUUUGCUGUCACUUAUAGAUGGAUCCGCGCCGCAUUAGCUAGUUGGUAAGGUAACGGCUUACCAAGGCAACGAUGCGUAGCCGACCUGAGAGGGUGAUCGGCCAAACUGGAACUGAGACACGGUCCAGACUACUACGGGAGGCAGCAGUAGGGAAUAUUCCGCAAUGGGCGAAAGCCUGACGGAGCAACGCCGCGUGAGUGAUGAAGGUCUUCGGAUCGUAAAACUCUGUUAUUAGGGAAGAACAAAUGUGUAAGUAACUAUGCACGUCUUGACGGUAACUAAUCAGAAAGCCACGGCUAACUACGUG